AGUCUUCUCUGCAGACACCAGCCUGGUGUCCUCCUUCAUCCCAGGCUGCCAGGCUAGGCAGGGGGCAGCGGCUGCCCUGGUCCUCACAGCCCUGGCUGCGGGGCUGGUGACAGCCAGAUCCUCAUGCUUCUGUGACCAGAGCGCUGCCUUCAGACACCUCUCUGCUGGCGUGUUCCUGGGUCCAUGAUGGAAGAAGGAAAAGUAUUUUUAAAAGACAAUCUAAAGCUCACACUGUGACUGCAACAUAAAAUGUGUUCACCUGAGGAGACUGCUUUCACCGUGAGUGUGUCACAGGUCUCUGAUGGUUCUGGUUUCCUGGGCACCUAGAAUAAGUGUGUCAUCAUUUGUUCUGAAGCUGACUUCUCUGAGCUGGAUGGCACCCUGGACAUCAACCAGCCCUUCACCUUCACGUCACACAGGAGGGACACUGGUCCACAGAGAGGAUGCCUGCUCUGGUCACCAGCUGGAGAGUGGCAGACCUUGGGUACCUGACCUUUGGACUCUGCCACGCAGAGCACUUCCUCAGUCCCUCCUGCUGCCCCUGGCAGGGUGGAGCUGGCAGGGCAGCUGAUCCAGGACCGUCCACUUCCAAGCCAGCAGGAGGAUGGAAAAACAGAAUGGAGGGGAAACAACCUCCUUUGCAGGGCGUGACUCGGAAGUUGGACACAUCAUUUCCAGCCACAUUCCAUGGACCAGAAUUAGCCCUGUGACCAACUCUGGCUGCCAGAAAGUCUGGGAAAUACAGUCUCUGCUUGGGCGAUCAGGCAGGCAGUCAUAUCUUUGGGAACAUCUCUCACACCCUGGGAACACCUGAGCAGAAACUGAAGGACAUUUAACAGAUUCUCCUCUGUGUCUAAUAAGAAUUGCCCCCAUCAGUCAGGGCUCUCCUAGGUGCUGGGUACAUAGGUCAUCUAUAAACAACCCAGCAAUGGAGAGCACACCAUUCCCAGGCUGCAGAUGCAGAAACUGUGGCUCGGAGAGUUAAGCGUCUUGUUCAGAUUCAGUCAGCUGGUAGAUGGCAGGUCUGGGAUUGAGACCCAGGCCUGGCUGGUCCUGCCAGGACACAGUAUCACAGCUUUGACUGGGGGCUUCUUUUUGUU
This 1100-nucleotide long non-coding RNA is filed under the name Pan troglodytes (chimpanzee). RNAcentral describes it as "lincRNA". Lineage: Eukaryota; Metazoa; Chordata; Mammalia; Primates; Hominidae. The record is from RNAcentral.